This 913-nucleotide long non-coding RNA is filed under the name Mytilus galloprovincialis (Mediterranean mussel). The record is from RNAcentral. Lineage: Eukaryota; Metazoa; Mollusca; Bivalvia; Mytilida; Mytilidae.
UACAACAUGGAUGCUGUAACAUUAUCAAUUUAUGUCUUAUGUUUACAUCUUCAUGGCACACAUUUAGUAAAGUUGUUUGAUUGCCAGGGGGAUGUUACAUCACAUUUCAAAAGGUUAGGACUGAAAUGUGGACAGAGACGAGAUUUUACAGCCGAAAUUCUGUCGGAAGGCAAUUUAUAAUGGGUACAACUUCAAGUCAAAUCGGCACCUGGUCAAAUCGGCACCUUGUUAAAUCGGAACUAGUCAAAUCAGCACCUAUUUAAAGUCAAUUCGGCAUCCUAUAAUAUUUGAUAAAAUAAAUAUAAAUAAUUCUAAAAAUGUAUAAAUUCAUGAUCUAUUAUGGGGGUUGGAUUUUAGCUAGUCCAAAUAAUUAUGACGUCUGGCAAGGCUAUUUUAAUUUUUUUCUGGGACGCCUUCCUACGACGUCAUAACGCCGAAGCCAUUUUUUACAUCUGGAGUUUGAGAGCAAAUUUUGGGGGGAACUUUGACACCUAAUUUUAGGAAGUCGUCCCAGAAAAAAAAUAAAAUAGCCUUGCCAGACGUCAUAAUUAUUUGGACUAGAUUUUAGCAUGCAUUAAAACGCAUCAAGCAGCUAGAAUGCAAAAGUUUAUUAUCUAAAGUUUUCCCAACAUUCUAUGACUGACGUUUUGAUAAUUUUUCUUUUCAGGUAAUUAAUAACAUAGUUACUUCAAAAACUUCAUAAGAAACAACGAAGCCCUGCAAUAAUUAAUGAAAAAAUAUUAACUACUUCCUGUAGGUCGUGACGUUUUCGCCUGGUUUUUGCAUGCUGGGAUUUAAAAUACAAUCAUUAAAAGUCUUGGCUUUUAAUCAUAUUUUAACGUAAUUGUAAGCUCACCAAUGACUUAUGCUUUAUCUAAUAACCAUCUGAUAAUAAGAAGAUAAUAAGAAGAUA